RNAcentral lists this ribosomal RNA (388 nucleotides) under uncultured bacterium. RNAcentral's name for it is "bacterial SSU rRNA". It matches the Rfam family "Bacterial small subunit ribosomal RNA", at positions 29 to 409 of the family's 1533-position model. The record is from RNAcentral.
AAUGAACGCUGGCGGCGCGCCUAAUACAUGCAAGUCGAGCGAGAAGACGUAGCAAUACGUUUGUAAAGCGGCGAACGGGUGAGGAAUACAUGGGUAACCUACCCUAGAGUGGGGAAUAACUAGCCGAAAGGUUAGCUAAUACCGCGUACGCUCCUUGGACUUCGGUUCAGGGAGGAAAGCGAUACCGAGGGUAUCGCGCUCUUGGAUGGGCUCAUGUCCUAUCAGCUUGNGGUGAGGUAACGGCUCACCAAGGCUUCGACGGGUAGCUGGUCUGAGAGGACGAUCAGCCACACUGGCACUGCGACACGGGCCAGACUCCUACGGGAGGCAGCAGUAAGAAUAUUGCGCAAUGGGCGAAAGCCUGACGCAGCGACGCCGCGUGGGGGAU